RNAcentral lists this ribosomal RNA (254 nucleotides) under uncultured bacterium. Its description in RNAcentral is "partial 16S ribosomal RNA". It matches the Rfam family "Bacterial small subunit ribosomal RNA", at positions 524 to 776 of the family's 1533-position model. The record is from RNAcentral.
UACAGAGGUCCCGAGCGUUGUUCGGAUUCACUGGGCGUAAAGGGUGCGCAGGUGGGUUGGCAAGUUUGAUGUGAAAGCCCCGGGCUUAACCCGGGAAUGGCAUUGAAUACUGCUGAUCUGGAGGAUCGGAGGGGGGACUGGAAUUCUUGGUGUAGCAGUGAAAUGCGUAGAUAUCAAGAGGAACACCAGUGGCGAAGGCGAGUCCCUGGACGAUACCUGACACUGAGGCACGAAAAGCCGGGGGAGCAAACAGG